This is a long non-coding RNA of Xiphophorus maculatus (southern platyfish), 110 nucleotides long. RefSeq lists it as uncharacterized. The record is from RefSeq and is a predicted model, not a curated record. Lineage: Eukaryota; Metazoa; Chordata; Actinopteri; Cyprinodontiformes; Poeciliidae. The transcript is spliced from 3 exons.
GUUCGCGCCAAGCUGCGCUGGGGAGAGGUGUGUGUGGGAAAGCCAGAGCCCAAGAACUGGAGUGCUGAUACAUUUUUGUUUUAAACAGAAUAAAUCUGCCCUACUGCUGC